CUACGGAGGGAGCAAGCGUUAUUCGGAAUCACUGGGCGUAAAGGACGCGUAGGCGGGUUUGUAAGUCAGGUGUGAAAUCCUACAGCUCAACUGUAGAACUGCACUUGAAACUACAGACCUAGAGUAUGGAAGGGGCAGAUGGAAUUAGUGGUGUAGGGGUAAAAUCCGUAGAUAUCACUAGGAAUACCGAAAGCGAAGGCGAUCUGCUGGGACAUUACUGACGCUGAGGCGUGAAAGCGUGGGGAGCAAACAGGAUUAGAAACCCGGGUAGUCC
This 274-nucleotide ribosomal RNA is filed under the name uncultured bacterium. Its description in RNAcentral is "partial 16S ribosomal RNA". It matches the Rfam family "Bacterial small subunit ribosomal RNA", at positions 523 to 796 of the family's 1533-position model. The record is from RNAcentral.